This 892-nucleotide ribosomal RNA is filed under the name uncultured bacterium. RNAcentral describes it as "bacterial SSU rRNA". It matches the Rfam family "Bacterial small subunit ribosomal RNA", at positions 505 to 1402 of the family's 1533-position model. The record is from RNAcentral.
GUUUCAGCCGCCGCGGUAAUGCGUAGGGUGCAAGCGUUAAUCGGAAUUACUGGGCGUAAAGCGUGCGCAGGCGGUUAUGCAGGACAGAGGUGAAAUCCCCGGGCUCAACCUGGGAACUGCCUUUGUGACUGCAUGGCUAGAGUACGGUAGAGGGGGAUGGAAUUCCGCGUGUAGCAGUGAAAUGCGUAGAUAUGCGGAGGAACACCGAUGGCGAAGGCAAUCCCCUGGACCUGUACUGACGCUCAUGCACGAAAGCGUGGGAAGCAAACAGGAUUAGAUACCCUGGUAGUCCACGCCCUAAACGAUGUCAACUGGUUGUUGGGAGGGUUUCUUCUCAGUAACGUAGCUAACGCGUGAAGUUGACCGCCUGGGGGGUACGGCCGCAAGGUUGAAACUCAAAGGAAUUGACGGGGACCCGCACAAGCGGUGGAUGAUGUGGUUUAAUUCGAUGCAACGCGAAAAACCUUACCUACCCUUGACAUGCCAGGAAUCCUGAAGAGAUUUGGGAGUGCUCGAAAGAGAGCCUGGACACAGGUGCUGCAUGGCCGUCGUCAGCUCGUGUCGUGAGAUGUUGGGUUAAGUCCCGCAACGAGCGCAACCCUUGUCAUUAGUUGCUACGAAAGGGCACUCUAAUGAGACUGCCGGUGACAAACCGGAGGAAGGUGGGGAUGACGUCAGGUCAUCAUGGCCCUUAUGGGUAGGGCUACACACGUCAUACAAUGGCCGGGACAGAGGGCUGCCAACCCGCGAGGGGGAGCUAAUCCCAGAAACCCGGUCGUAGUCCGGAUCGUAGUCUGCAACUCGACUGCGUGAAGUCGGAAUCGCUAGUAAUCGCGGAUCAGCCUGCCGCGGUGAAUACGUUCCCGGGUCUUGUACACACCGCCCGUCAAAC